RNAcentral lists this transfer RNA (85 nucleotides) under Felis catus (domestic cat). It matches the Rfam family "tRNA". Rfam says of the family: Transfer RNA (tRNA) molecules are approximately 80 nucleotides in length. Their secondary structure includes four short double-helical elements and three loops (D, anti-codon, and T loops). Further hydrogen bonds mediate the characteristic L-shaped molecular structure. tRNAs have two regions of fundamental functional importance: the anti-codon, which is responsible for specific mRNA codon recognition, and the 3' end, to which the tRNAs corresponding amino acid is attached (by aminoacyl-tRNA synthetases). tRNAs cope with the degeneracy of the genetic code in two manners: having more than one tRNA (with a specific anti-codon) for a particular amino acid; and 'wobble' base-pairing, i.e. permitting non-standard base-pairing at the 3rd anti-codon position. RNAcentral also lists the same sequence under 1 other name. Lineage: Eukaryota; Metazoa; Chordata; Mammalia; Carnivora; Felidae. The record is from Rfam by way of RNAcentral.
GCCUGGGUGGCUCAGUCGGUUGAGUGUCCGACUUCGGCUCGGGUCAUGAUCUCAUGGUUCGUGAGUUCGAGCCCCACGUCGGGCU